AAUUGCGAAAAGUAAUGUGACCUGCACUCUUUGAGAAGCAUUUUACUCUUUGAACGCACCUUGCACGCACUUGGGCGACCGAGUGCGAGGUCCUGUUUGAGCAUUUUGACGAAUCUUGUGGUAGUCGUGCAAACGACUGCGCAGACCUGGACCCUUUAGCAUUUGCUAAGGAGUCUGAAAAGCAGACAAUGACGUCCGAACGACUCUAGGGCGUGUGGCAGUGUGACAAAAGAUCACUACCACUCAUAUUGUCUUCUUUGCUGGUGGUUCGACAAGUCGAACCUUCUUUACUGGUGGUUCGACAAGUCGAACCUUCAUAUAGUGAAGAAACGGUGCGAAUCCGAUUCGCACCACUAGAAAAAAAUCUCAAAUCAGGAUAGAGGACCCGCUGAACUUAA
RNAcentral lists this unclassified non-coding RNA (398 nucleotides) under uncultured fungus. RNAcentral's name for it is "sequence contains ITS1". The stretch from base 1 to 106 matches the Rfam family "5.8S ribosomal RNA", at positions 51 to 154 of the family's 154-position model. The record is from RNAcentral. Lineage: Eukaryota; Fungi.